CGCCCGGGCGCCGUGAGGGCGGGACCGGGGGAGCCCUCAGAGCGGCUCGCGGGCCCGGCAGCGUCGUUGUCCGAACGCUGCUGGAACUCUGUCAGCCUCGGGGCUGUGAGCACUGCCUGCGGGAGGUCUGUGCGCGACCACCCUCCGGGUGAAAGCCUUUUCCUGUUGCCCAGCCCUGCCCCAGCCGUUCCUCGGGCCCUGUCCCUGGCCAGAGCAGAGAUCAGUGCCUGCCCCUCGGCAGUCCGCAGCGAGUUCCCGUCAGUCUCCAGCUGUGGCUGAGGGACGGCUGCCACCGCCCGGGAGCGCGGCGGGGUCGGGCCGUGCAGCGGCAGCCCUCGGCUGGAGGUGAUUAACGCCAAUUAGCUGCUGGCCCUGCGCUCGGUACCGCCCUCCCCCACUGCCCGGUGCCGCUCGUCGCAGGACUGACCCGAGAGCUCCAGUCCUGGGUCGCGCCCCGCGGGACGGAAAAAGUCAAACCCGCUCGCUGAGCUGUGUGUGCAGGGCUGCAGUGCCGAGGAGCCCAAGGAGGCGCAAGAUGAGUGUCAAAAGCACGGGCGGAACCUCCUGCAUGAGGGAAAAGAGCACAGUUCAUAAAAAUAAUUUGGCUCCUGCCUUGGACAACAGUGAGAUGAAACUUAAAGAUCAACAUGUUACAGAGUAGCAGUUUCCAGAUAUGUGGAUAAGAGGGACAGUCAAGGUAACAAGUCAGGGAAGCUGGAGUUCCCAAACAACCUGAACUGAAUACUUGACACGUAAGUCUGACCACAAGAAUUGCUUUUCUGAAUUCCUUUCAACAGAUCUGUAAC
Molecule: long non-coding RNA, 806 nt
Filed under: Lonchura striata (white-rumped munia)
Lineage: Eukaryota; Metazoa; Chordata; Aves; Passeriformes; Estrildidae
Description: domestica (Bengalese finch) lncRNA (ENSLSDG00000002567.1)
Source: RNAcentral